GGGCUGGUAGUUCAGGGGUAGUAAUGCUCGCUUCGCAAGCGAGAGGUCGCGGGUUCAAAUCCCGCCCAGUCCA
Molecule: transfer RNA, 73 nt
Organism: Nitrososphaera viennensis EN76
Lineage: Archaea; Thermoproteati; Nitrososphaerota; Nitrososphaeria; Nitrososphaerales; Nitrososphaeraceae
Rfam family: tRNA
About the family: Transfer RNA (tRNA) molecules are approximately 80 nucleotides in length. Their secondary structure includes four short double-helical elements and three loops (D, anti-codon, and T loops). Further hydrogen bonds mediate the characteristic L-shaped molecular structure. tRNAs have two regions of fundamental functional importance: the anti-codon, which is responsible for specific mRNA codon recognition, and the 3' end, to which the tRNAs corresponding amino acid is attached (by aminoacyl-tRNA synthetases). tRNAs cope with the degeneracy of the genetic code in two manners: having more than one tRNA (with a specific anti-codon) for a particular amino acid; and 'wobble' base-pairing, i.e. permitting non-standard base-pairing at the 3rd anti-codon position.
Source: Rfam